This 1283-nucleotide ribosomal RNA is filed under the name Escherichia coli. RNAcentral's name for it is "partial 23S ribosomal RNA". It matches the Rfam family "Bacterial large subunit ribosomal RNA", at positions 1 to 1314 of the family's 2925-position model. The record is from RNAcentral. Lineage: Bacteria; Pseudomonadati; Pseudomonadota; Gammaproteobacteria; Enterobacterales; Enterobacteriaceae.
GGGUUGUGAGGUUAAGCGACUAAGCGUACACGGUGGAUGCCCUGGCAGUCAGAGGCGAUGAAGGACGUGCUAAUCUGCGAUAAGCGUCGGUAAGGUGAUAUGAACCGUUAUAACCGGCGAUUUCCGAAUGGGGAAACCCAGUGUGUUUCGACACACUAUCAUUAACUGAAUCCAUAGGUUAAUGAGGCGAACCGGGGGAACUGAAACAUCUAAGUACCCCGAGGAAAAGAAAUCAACCGAGAUUCCCCCAGUAGCGGCGAGCGAACGGGGAGCAGCCCAGAGCCUGAAUCAGUAUGUGUGUUAGUGGAAGCGUCUGGAAAGGCGCGCGAUACAGGGUGACAGCCCCGUACACAAAAAUGCACAUGCUGUGAGCUCGAUGAGUAGGGCGGGACACGUGGUAUCCUGUCUGAAUAUGGGGGGACCAUCCUCCAAGGCUAAAUACUCCUGACUGACCGAUAGUGAACCAGUACCGUGAGGGAAAGGCGAAAAGAACCCCGGCGAGGGGAGUGAAAAAGAACCUGAAACCGUGUACGUACAAGCAGUGGGAGCACGCUUAGGCGUGUGACUGCGUACCUUUUGUAUAAUGGGUCAGCGACUUAUAUUCUGUAGCAAGGUUAACCGAAUAGGGGAGCCGAAGGGAAACCGAGUCUUAACUGGGCGUUAAGUUGCAGGGUAUAGACCCGAAACCCGGUGAUCUAGCCAUGGGCAGGUUGAAGGUUGGGUAACACUAACUGGAGGACCGAACCGACUAAUGUUGAAAAAUUAGCGGAUGACUUGUGGCUGGGGGUGAAAGGCCAAUCAAACCGGGAGAUAGCUGGUUCUCCCCGAAAGCUAUUUAGGUAGCGCCUCGUGAAUUCAUCUCCGGGGGUAGAGCACUGUUUCGGCAAGGGGGUCAUCCCGACUUACCAACCCGAUGCAAACUGCGAAUACCGGAGAAUGUUAUCACGGGAGACACACGGCGGGUGCUAACGUCCGUCGUGAAGAGGGAAACAACCCAGACCGCCAGCUAAGGUCCCAAAGUCAUGGUUAAGUGGGAAACGAUGUGGGAAGGCCCAGACAGCCAGGAUGUUGGCUUAGAAGCAGCCAUCAUUUAAAGAAAGCGUAAUAGCUCACUGGUCGAGUCGGCCUGCGCGGAAGAUGUAACGGGGCUAAACCAUGCACCGAAGCUGCGGCAGCGACGCUGAUGCGUUGUUGGGUAGGGGAGCGUUCUGUAAGCCUGCGAAGGUGUGCUGUGAGGCAUGCUGGAGGUAUCAGAAGUGCGAAUGCUGACAUAAGUAACGAUA